Long non-coding RNA from Nothoprocta perdicaria, 175 nucleotides. RefSeq lists it as uncharacterized. NCBI's taxonomy places the organism in Eukaryota, Metazoa, Chordata, Aves, Tinamiformes, Tinamidae. The record is from RefSeq and is a predicted model, not a curated record. The transcript has 2 exons.
UGGUUUCUACUCUGUGCACUCCUCAUCCUUUAGAAGUUCCUUCUCACCUUGGUGAGAUAGAUGAGCACUGUUUCUGUGUUACCACGCUAGGUGGGAAGGCAGCAUGGGACUUUAAGAUACCAACUGAUGGAAAUCACAGUGCCACAGCUAAGCACUGAGCUGAACAGGCUUCAUC